GCAGUGCCAAUGGAGCAUCCUGGUCCUUUUCCAGCUCAGGCUGCUCCAAGUGACAGGCUGGGACUCAUGUCAUAUCCCCCAAGCACAGGCAAGGUCAUACCAAGUGUCCAUCUAGCCCAUUGACCCCUGCUAGCAAUGUCCAUGCAAGGAGCUAUUGUGGAAAGUAAGAAAAGGGUAAAUACACCAAGUCUCUGCAACCUCUCAGCUUCUAGGACAAGAAGCUGUUAGAGAGCACGAGCACCCCUCAGCCUCCUCUUCUCCAAACCAGACAAACGCAGAGCCCACAGCCACUGCUCACAGGACAUGGCUUCCAGCCCUCUCACUGGCUUUGUUGCCGACCUUGGGAUGCAUUCAGGGACCUUCACAUCUUUCUUCAGUGAUGAACUAUUGCUGUCAGAGCACCUGCUUGAAGACCCAGGACUGCAGGAGUACAUUUCUAAAGGGAUGGGGGGAUAAUGGUUUCCAGCAUGGACUAGUUUGAAGAAAGGUUUCCUCAUGCAAGAAGUUGUCACUUGUAUUGGACUGUUGAAGUAACACAACAAUUGAGAGUAACUGCACAAUGAACAUGGAAAUGUGACCAUAUCUCUAAAUAGUUAUACAGCAAUAUUAUCUAUUUUUGUACUAGAAAUU
Molecule: long non-coding RNA, 630 nt
Organism: Passer domesticus (house sparrow)
Lineage: Eukaryota; Metazoa; Chordata; Aves; Passeriformes; Passeridae
Exons: 5
Source: RefSeq, a predicted model, not a curated record